Molecule: non-coding RNA, 6180 nt
Organism: Heterocephalus glaber (naked mole-rat)
Lineage: Eukaryota; Metazoa; Chordata; Mammalia; Rodentia; Bathyergidae
Source: RefSeq, a predicted model, not a curated record
CACAUCCAUCCAUCCACCCAUACACCCAUCCAUCCAUCCAUCAAUGCAUCCAUCCAUUCACCCACCACCCAUCCACCCACCCACUGACUCAUGCACCCAUCUACACAUCCACCCAUCCAUCCAUCUAUCCAUCCACCCCUACACCUGUCUACAUAGCCAUCCAUCUACCCAUCCCUGCAUGUGUCAGGAAUUACACUGUAACAGGCCAAUGGGGAGCUUAUGAUAAAAGUGACUGAACUCCAAGAUGGCAGAGGUCACAGAUGCUAUAUUCUGGUCCCACCAUGUCUGGAGGCUUUAGAAGAUCCUGGGACAUCUUGAGUCCCAACUUUAGAUGGGAAAUAGCCUGUCUCUCUUGAGUCCUGACUCUGGAGCUUUACAGAGAGUUCACAGGCUUUUUUGAGCAAGUGUAUGGUUAUCCUAGACUUGUUGCAAGUAGAAUGAGGAGAGAGACAGGAUGAAAAUCCCUUUCAUUUACUUCAUUUCAGGUUUUCUCCAGUUUGUUAAGUCAUGCCCUCUGAGAACAUAUCGCCUCUGGACUUGUGUGCAAAAUGUGAAAGCAUUCAAUUAAAAACCUUGAAGCCACCCUCCUGGGGCCCAGCUUAGUGUGGCUGCCCUGGGGGUUGUUCCACUGGGUGUGCUGGGAAAGCAGCAUGCAUGGGUCCGGGGCUGUCUUGCAUGGUGGAGUCUUGGGUUGGUGCUAUUGGAGGCAGGCAUCUCCACUGAGGGCAAACAGGCAGAGUUGAGCCGGGUGUGCUGAGGGAGGACGAAGGUCUGGGCAGCCCACAGUCCUGUGUGCAGAUCCUCCCUGGGAUUCCUGGGGUUUUUUCCUAGUAAGAGCAGCCUGGGAAGAGCUCAGCUGGCUGGCAGUUCAGGGCAGGUACCAAUGCUGUGUGAAGGUUUCUUGCUGUCUCCCCGCCCCCCCUUCCUCUUCCCUUCCUUUCUGUACUACGGAUUAAACCCAGGGCUCUUGCUCCGAGCUGCAUCCCCAGCCCUUUCAUUAUUUAUUUAGAAACAAGAUGUCACUAGGCCAGUGAGUUCUCCAGACUGGGCUUGAACACAUGAUCCUCCUGCCUCAGCCUCCCAAAGUGCUAGGAUUAUGGGCAUGCAUUCCAUGCCUGGUUACGUCUAAGGACUUCUCUCUCUGUCACAAUGGAGAGCCUGCCCUUCAUUUGGGGUUAUGUCUUUAUUAUGGGCUGGAUUGUUCCCCCUACCUCAAUGUAUAUGCUGAAGUUCCUGCCCCAGUUCCUCAGACCUUGACUAGUAUGGAGAUGGUCAGAUGAAAUUGGCUGAGUGAGUUUAUACUACAGUUGGGUGGACACCUCCACCUGUGUGAUGAGGGUCUUUGUAAGAAGGAACUUUUGGACACAAAGUCAGCCGUGGCUGGACAGUGCUGUGUGAAGACGGAGGUGGAGUUCAGGGGAUGCAGGAACAAGUCUAGGGUCACCAACAUGGCCAGCAUCCACCAGAAGCCAGACAGGCCUGCCACAGACCUUGGGAGCCUCCAAACGUCCAACCUGCUGCACCCAGGUCCCAGGCUCUGGCGUCCAGGCCUGGGAGAGGGUUAAUUUCUGUGGUCUAAGCCAUUUGGUCUGGGGGCUGUGUUGGGGGGUCCCAGGAACCCCAAGGGAAGCAGAAGACCAGGCUGCUUCUGAUGAGGGUACUUCUUGUGCCUGGGCUGAUCGAACCCUGUACCCCUCGGCCCAGAAUGGAGGGCUGUUCAAACACUGUGGGUGAGAAACGGGCUCACAGAUAUAGACAGUGAAGAUGCCAGCUGCGGUAGAGACAGGGAAGUAGCAUACAUUCAGACCCCAAAGACGAUGGGCUUGGUCCUGUUGUUCUGCCCGCUCUGAAGCUGAUGUUGCUCAGAUGGACUUCCGUCUUAAGAAAAUGGCCCAAAAGCCAGCCACCAGCAGAACAGGGUGGGUGCUCCUGAAGCUUUCCUCUCUGCAGGGCCCACCUCUUGCAGGGGCAGAGUUUGGUGGAUGCAGGGAAGCUGCCCAGGAUGAGGAGCUAUGAAAUGUUUCAUCACCCCAGAUCCCUAGAUGUCAGGUAGGCUUUCCUUUAAAGUCCAGCCUGGGCCAUCCAAUGACCUAUUUUUGUCUCUUAUAAGAGUUUUACAUUUCAAUAUAAAUAAUAUUAAGUGUGCUAUAAAGUAAUCACAGCAUUAACAGUCUCUUGGAUCUGGCUUCUCCACUUCAAAUGUCUCCAGGAGUUAUCUGUGUUACUGCUUUUUAUGGUCGAGUAGUAUUCCACUGAAUGGAUGUUUCAUAGUGUGCUUAUCCAUUAGCCAGCUGAUAGACAAUUGAGGUUUUUUUCAAUGUUGGGUUAUUAUAAAUAAUACUACAAACAGAGUAUACAUGGUUUAGUGGGAGCACAGUUUUAUUCCUGUUGAGCAAGUACCAAUAAGCGGAUCUAUUAGGUCAUGUGCAAAGUGUAUGUACAACCCAUGGAAAUUGUAUACAGAUACUCCUGUUUAACAACCGAGUUAUGUCUCCGUGACCAGGUCAUUAAAGGAAUUGGUCCCUAAAUGAGGAAUUGGCUACAGUAGGUACAUUACAAUAAUCAGAACAAAGAAAUGGUCAAUGGAAACUCCAUCUGGGAGGCUGCCUUUAUUUGCAUAACUCUUACAUGCAGCACUGUAAUGUAUAACAGCACAUAAAACCACAGCACUCAAUGUACAGUACAGUCAGCACAAACUACAGGAUUGUACUGUAGAAGAAGCCGCCAUUUGGCACCCUUUACCCCAGCUCCUUAGUCCCCGUUAUCAGGGUGGCUUUGCCUCCAGAGGGCGCAGCCUGGACUGGAGCAGCACACUGAUUCUAGCCUGUCGCUUCCUCUAAAGAUCUUCUGCCUGAUCCAUUUCCCAUUGCAAAUGGCCCUUAACAUAUCAAUGCAAACACCAGAGAUUAUGCAACACCCUCAUGUGUUCCAAAUAAUACAGUGUCAGUAACUUAAAAGCAAGCCAAAUUAGAACACCGUGAAUCAUCUCCCCUCAAUGAAAGACUCAGGAGAAAAAAACCAGCAAAUAUUAAAUGGUCUUUUAAAGUUAAGCCCAAAUGUUGCAAGGUCCAGGACAAAGCAAUGAAAGUUCAAAUUCACUCUCUGCAAUUAUGCCCUUGCUGAGAAGUCUUGGCCCAUGUUCCGGCAGAGACUGGCUUUGCCAUUUGACCAGAUGUGGCCUCCCCGUAAGGACUGGGCUCCACAGGACCGCCUGGCCUGAGUUAACCUGACGGUGACCAUGCCUGUUCCAUGCCCUACUUUAGGGUGAGCAGUGCCAGCCCCACAGCCACAGUUUGGGAAGUACCAUGUGAGUCACUCUCCUACCACACUCCUGCUCACGAACCUAUGCUCCUGGGAGUCGAUGUUUGAGACCACUGAGUCCAGUGCCUGUGGUCAAAAUGGUUCCUUGGUGCCUGGGAGCAAGAGGGUAGGUGGAGAAUGGAGAGAAAAACAAGCUCUGCUUUCAGCCUACUCAACGCUGAUAAGUUCCAGUUGUGUGGACUCCGCUGCCUCUGGGAUGGUCUUCCCUCAGGGAGGCUCAGCAUUCACCUCCUGCGGCUGCUCCAGCUUCCCUAAGCACCUGCUUGUUCAGGAGUCCAAGCAGAUUUGCUUGCACCUUGCUGAGCAGAUUCCCAGCCUCCUCUGUAGAGCCACAGACACCUUAGAUGAGUCUAGACAGCUGGUGGAUUUGGGGGCUCCCUUUGGUGUGUUUCGCCUGCCUCCCUACACUCCCAGGGCCCAUGCAUAUGACCACCAUGUGUCUAGGAAAGCUCUCCACCCAUCAGAAUUUGGUCAUGUUUGGUCACAGCUGUCCAGACAUCUGCAGGUGGCUCUCGACGCACUGGCUUGGGAGCUCUUGGUGGUGCCCUGGCGUACUAUUACCUUGGGGAGUCAGCCCUUGACUUAUGCCUCUUUCUCUUGAUGAGUUCUAAGCCAAUCAAGGAGUGACUGAAGGGUGACCUGCUGGAAACUUCUCUGCUUGAGGCUGAGCUUCCCUGCCUCAGGGGACAGAACACACUCAGAGCAGAGGACAAACACCUGCUCACCAGGAGGCCCAGCAAGCACAGAACAGUACCUUUCUCUUACCCACUGGGGCACUGACAACAUUACAGCUGGACCCCAUCCCAGCUGUUAGACAGGCUACCCAUCCUUGAGGACAGAGUUGAGAGGCAGGCUGGACAAGUGGAGCAGGGAGAAAACUUCUUAGGGGUAGACAGACUGUCGCAGAGCUCCCUAAGCCCAACCUUCUUGAUCACAGCUCUGAAGCUCCUGACCUUGAGAUCAGCUGGGUCCAGGGAAUGGACAGCAAUAAUAGCUCUGACAUGCUCUCUUCCCUCUUGGCUCCUCUCUACCCCUUGCCACUGUAUCAGAGCUAAUGCCACUUCUCCAUCCAGAACUUGCUUCCAAUAAAGAAUCAGAGAGAAGAUAUAGGCAUAGAUCUUUUUUCUUUUCUUUUUUGGUACCAGGGAUCGAACUUGGGUCCUGGUACUUUCAAGUCAGGCAGUGAGCUAAAGUGAACUAAAUCCCUGGCCCUAGGCAUAGUUUUUAUUACCUUCAGGAGUUUAUUUGGUCCAGUCCACGAGUGGGGUCCAGUUCCAAGGUGCCAUCAGGAAUCAGGAGUUCUGCAAUGGCCACACAGAAGCAGCACAGGCAGGCUUGGCAGUGUGCAUGCACCUGAAGGUGCUCUGAACUAGCUUUCCUCAACAGAUGUGGAAAAAGAAAGCCACAGCACGUGGCCUCCUCCCCAGGGCUGUGCCGUGAUUUGCACCUUGAACACAAAUGGCAGAAUAUUUUAAACAGAAACACUAGGCUGAGUCCGAGGUACUCAUGGGACGACAUCAAUUCUUUCAACCAGUUUAACUGAAGUAAUAACAAGAACAGCAGCAAAAAUGCCACUGACGGUGAUAAAAGUGGUGGUGAUGGUGGUUAUGAUAAUGGUGACAUUAGCAGUGACGGUGACAUUGAUGGUGAGUGCAUGGCAUGCUAAGUCUAUGCCAGGGACAAUGUUCUCUCCCUCCUUAUGACAAGGGAAGCACUGAGAAGCAUUUUGGAGAGUGGUCCAGCUUAAGCAGUGACAAAUUAGUGGAUGCUUACUCCCUGCUGUCCUAAGGAGUGCUCAAUGUAUUGUCCUCAAAACUGCAGACGGAGUCAGGGAAUACUCUCAGGAUUUCUCCCCUAUUCACUUCCAGAAGUUCUCUGUUUGCCUAUUUGUGAGUCAUUUAUGAAUAACCAGUGGGGAGCCUCGUCACCGAGAUACAUCCACCACACUUGGCUCUGCCCGGGGCUGCAGACGUCGUCUCCCAAGGUGGUACAAACAAACAAUUAUCACCGUCUUCACAGAUCCUGCACUCAAAAUUGCUUGUCGGACUUGGGAAUAGCACUUUUCUUUUGCAAGAAGAUCAUGUCUAUGUGUGCUGCAAUUGGACUCUGCUUUGGUUUGUGUCAUUGCUAAGAUGUAAUAAGGUUAGCCAGGAUUGAAAUAACUGUCACCGAGUCUCUUGAAAGCAAGACUGCCUUCGGCAGGGAAUAAAAAGUGGGUGAAAAUGCAUGUAAUGGAUUUGCAUUCAGAGCUGGCCAAGGACUUGGUGCUGAGGAAAAUGAGUGGCCCAGCAGGCCUUCCUUGCCCAGAGUCUGGGUAGCCCUGUGUGCCGGGGUAGGGAUGUUUCCCUGCUUCUUAUCAAUGCAUCUGGUGUCCAUCAAAGAGCCUAGUCUGGGUGAUGGGAGGGUGUGUGGGAUUCAUGUGGAGAGGGAAUGGAGACUUUAAAAUACACACAUGGCAGCAUGAAUUCCAGCUCCCUUACUUGCUGAGCAUGUGGUCUUGGACCUGUUUCAGAUCUGUAAGUGGAGAAAGUGCAUUGUGACCUCCUGGAUUAUCAAAAAUGCUUGAUGAGAUGAGGUGUAUGAACCAUGAGAAGUCACAGGUGUUGGAAGCUGGAGGUCAGGGGUGUUCUCCCCUCUCACUCUGCCCCAAUCUGGCAUGACCAUCUGAGUCUUUGGACCUCCUCUGAGUCGCCUGCCUCCAGGUCAGUCUGCCACCCCAUUGUCGCUGUGUUCUCAUUCAGCCCACGCUUGUGUUAACCCCACAUCUGGUUAUCUUUGAGGGUUUAGUGAGAUUCCAACAACAUAAUGUACCAGAGAGACAUGAAGGAGCUGAUGUAAGAUUAAAAAUUUCCACUUUCA